This 72-nucleotide transfer RNA is filed under the name Camelus bactrianus (Bactrian camel). It matches the Rfam family "tRNA". From Rfam's summary of the family: Transfer RNA (tRNA) molecules are approximately 80 nucleotides in length. Their secondary structure includes four short double-helical elements and three loops (D, anti-codon, and T loops). The record is from Rfam by way of RNAcentral. RNAcentral also lists the same sequence under 2 other names. Lineage: Eukaryota; Metazoa; Chordata; Mammalia; Artiodactyla; Camelidae.
GAGGGUAUAGCUCAGGGGUAGGGUGCAUGCCUAGCAUGCACAAUGUCCUGGGUUCAAUCCCCGGUACUUCCA